GCCGCUCGGCUCGGCGCGGCUGCGGCGUCCCGUGCGGGCGGGCUCGGAGGCUGCCGUGCCGCUCCGAGGAGUCCAGAACAUACCUAUAGAGCUGCAGCUUCUCUUUCUCUGAGUGCUGCCAAAGGUAUGAGCUGUUAUGUAGCAGUUGCAUGUGAAGAGAAGACAGAGUACAAGUCGUCAUCAGAAGAUCCUGUCCUAAGCUGGGCCUGAAAGUUCAU
Long non-coding RNA from Melozone crissalis (California towhee), 218 nucleotides. RefSeq lists it as uncharacterized. Lineage: Eukaryota; Metazoa; Chordata; Aves; Passeriformes; Passerellidae. The transcript is spliced from 3 exons. The record is from RefSeq and is a predicted model, not a curated record.